UUAAGUGACUAAGCGUACACGGUGGAUGCCUGGGCAGUCAGAGGCGAUGAAGGACGUACUAACUUGCGAUAAGCGUAGAUGAGGCAGUAAGAGCCACUUGAGUCUACGAUUUCCGAAUGGGGAAACCCAGCUGCAUAAGCAGUUAUCUCAAUGUGAAUUCAUAGCAUUGUGAGGCGAACCGGGGGAACUGAAACAUCUAAGUACCCCGAGGAAGAGAAAUCAACCGAGAUUCCGGCAGUAGCGGCGAGCGAAACCGGAUUAGCCCUUAAGCUAAUCUUGCGUUAGGUGAACAUGCUGGAAAGCAUGGCAAUAAAGGGUGAUAGCCCCGUAACCAACAACGCUUUAUCAGUGAAAUCGAGUAGGACGGGACACGUGUUAUCCUGUCUGAAUAUGGGGGGACCAUCCUCCAAGGCUAAAUACUCCUGACUGACCGAUAGUGAACCAGUACCGUGAGGGAAAGGCGAAAAGUACCCCUGUGAGGGGAGUGAAAUAGAACCUGAAACCGUGUACGUACAAGCAGUAGGAGCAGGCUUGUCCUGUGACUGCGUACCUUUUGUAUAAUGGGUCAGCGACUUAAUUUUAGUAGCAAGGUUAACCAUCUAGGGGAGCCGUAGGGAAACCGAGUCUUAACUGGGCGUCAUAGUUGCUAGGAUUAGACCCGAAACCGAGUGAUCUAGCCAUGGGCAGGUUGAAGAUUGAGUAACAUCAAUUGGAGGACCGAACCGACUAAUGUUGAAAAAUUAGCGGAUGACUUGUGGCUAGGGGUGAAAGGCCAAUCAAACUCGGAGAUAGCUGGUUCUCCCCCGAAAGCUAUUUAGGUAGCGCCUCGGACGAAUACUACUGGGGGUAGAGCACUGUUAAGGCUAGGGGGUCAUCCCGACUUACCAACCCUUUGCAAACUCCGAAUACCAGUAAGUACUAUCCGGGAGACACACGGCGGGUGCUAACGUCCGUCGUGAAGAGGGAAACAACCCAGACCGCCAGCUAAGGUCCCAAAGUUAUAGCUAAGUGGGAAACGAUGUGGGAAGGCUCAGACAGCCAGGAUGUUGGCUUAGAAGCAGCCAUCAUUUAAAGAAAGCGUAAUAGCUCACUGGUCGAGUCGGCCUGCGCGGAAGAUUUAACGGGGCUAAGCUAUACACCGAAGCUGCGGCAAUGUGCUAUGCACAUUGGGUAGGGGAGCGUUCUGUAAGCCGUUGAAGGUGCAUUGUAAAGUGUGCUGGAGGUAUCAGAAGUGCGAAUGCUGACAUGAGUAACGACAAAGGGAGUGAAAAACUCCCUCGCCGGAAGACCAAGGGUUCCUGUCCAACGUUAAUCGGGGCAGGGUGAGUCGACCCCUAAGGCGAGGCCGAAAGGCGUAGUCGAUGGGAAACGGUUAAUAUUCCCGUACUUCUUACUAUUGCGAUGGGGGGACGGAGAAGGCUAGGUGAGCCUGGCGACGGUUGUCGCCGGAAGACCAAGGGUUCCUGUCCAACGUUAAUCGGGGCAGGGUGAGUCGACCCCUAAGGCGAGGCCGAAAGGCGUAGUCGAUGGGAAACGGGUUAAUAUUCCCGUACUUCUUACUAUUGCGAUGGGGGGACGGAGAAGGCUAGGUGAGCCUGGCGACGGUUGUCCAGGUCCAAGUACGUAGGUGGAUGAAUUAGGCAAAUCCGGUUCAUCACUAACACUGAGAUACGAUGUCGAGCUACUACGGUAGCGAAGUCAUUGAUGCCAUGCUUCCGGGAAAAGCCUCUAAGCUUCAGAUAGUAAGAAAUCGUCCCCAAACCGACACAGGUGGUCGGUAGAGAAUACCAAGCGCUUGAGAGAACUCGGGUGAAGGAACUAGGCAAAAUGGUACCGUAACUUCGGAGAAGGUACGCUCUUAACGGUGAAGUCCCUCGCGGAUGGAGCUGUCGAGAGUCGCAGAUACCAGGUGGCUGCAACUGUUUAUUAAAAACACAGCACUGUGCAAAAUCGAAAGUGACGUAUACGGUGUGACGCCUGCCCGGUGCCGGAAGGUUAAUUGAUGGGGUUAGACGUAAGUCGAAGCUCUUGAUCGAAGCCCCGGUAAACGGCGGCCGUAACUAUAACGGUCCUAA
This 2075-nucleotide ribosomal RNA is filed under the name Photobacterium damselae. Its description in RNAcentral is "bacterial LSU rRNA". It matches the Rfam family "Bacterial large subunit ribosomal RNA", at positions 1 to 1954 of the family's 2925-position model. The record is from RNAcentral. Lineage: Bacteria; Pseudomonadati; Pseudomonadota; Gammaproteobacteria; Vibrionales; Vibrionaceae.